ACCUGACCUGGUGCAGUAGAGUCCUAACUUCACACAGAAGGGAUGUUUAUUGGAAACAGAAGCUCAUUAAACAGUGGUAUUUCACUUUCCACAGUCCAGGAUUUCUGUCUUUCAAUAGAAACCUUUCACAAGGGGAAAAGAACUCAGCUAUUUUGUCUUCAUAUCUGGCUAUUAAAAAAUCCCAGCAGAUGAAGAAGAUGGCUAGAACAGUGAGUACAAAAAGCGCCAGGGCUCUCUGAAAAUUCAGGACACAUGCUGCGAUGACUAUCAUCAGGAGAGGGACAAACAGGACCAUUUGAAUGAGUUCUCUACGUAUGCUGGAAUGCUGAGGCUUUAUGGCAUGACGUCUCCAUAAAGAAACACUUUGGCGUGGGCACUGAAUGGCUCAGAUACCUAGAAGUACACACAAGCAACCAAAGCAAACAGAACAAAGAAAUAAAUUCCACCAAAGCAGAAAGAAGAGUAAUUCAUAUAGGAACAUUGCAGAAGAUCUAUCAAAG
Mauremys mutica (yellowpond turtle) is the source of this 500-nucleotide long non-coding RNA. RefSeq lists it as uncharacterized. The record is from RefSeq and is a predicted model, not a curated record. Lineage: Eukaryota; Metazoa; Chordata; Testudines; Geoemydidae. The transcript is spliced from 4 exons.